CUGCUUCAGCAGCACAUAUAGUAAAAUUAGAAUGAUGCCAAGAAUAUUAGCAUGGCCCUUGUGCAAGGAUUUUUUGUUUUGUUUUUUGAGACGUAGUUUCGCUCU
Small nuclear RNA from Pongo abelii (Sumatran orangutan), 105 nucleotides. NCBI's taxonomy places the organism in Eukaryota, Metazoa, Chordata, Mammalia, Primates, Hominidae. The record is from Ensembl.